RNAcentral lists this ribosomal RNA (536 nucleotides) under Psepholax cf. egerius/mastersii MB-2015. RNAcentral describes it as "partial 16S ribosomal RNA". It matches the Rfam family "Bacterial large subunit ribosomal RNA", at positions 1799 to 2605 of the family's 2925-position model. The record is from RNAcentral. Lineage: Eukaryota; Metazoa; Arthropoda; Insecta; Coleoptera; Curculionidae.
CCUGUUUAUUAAAAMCMUGGCUUAUUGAUAUUGAUUUUAAGUYUAACCUGCCCAAUGAUGGAUAAUUAAAUGGCCGCAGUAUAUUGACUGUGCAAAGGUAGCAUAAUCAUUAGUUUUUUAAUUGAAAGCUUGUAUGAAAGGUUUGAUGAAAAAAUAACUGUCUCUGUUUUAAUUUUUUAAAAAUUUAUUUUUAAGUUAAAAAGCUUAAAUAAAUAUAGAAGACGAGAAGACCCUAUAGAGUUUUAUAUCUAAAAUUAUAAUUAAUGUUUUGGUAUUUUAAGAUUUAUAUUUUAAGGUAUUUGAUUGGGGUGAUUAAAAAAUUAAAUAAACUUUUUUUUAAAACUACCAUUUAUUUAUGAAUUUUUGAUCCUUUUUUAAAGAUUAAAAGAUUAAAUUACCUUAGGGAUAACAGCGUAAUUUUUUUUUAGAGUUCUAAUCGAAAAAAAAGAUUGCGACCUCGAUGUUGGAUUAAAAUUUAUUAUUGGUGUAGAAGCUAGUAUAUUAGGUCUGUUCGACCUUUAAAAUUUUACAUGAUC